RNAcentral lists this ribosomal RNA (130 nucleotides) under uncultured Pseudoalteromonas sp. RNAcentral's name for it is "partial 16S ribosomal RNA". It matches the Rfam family "Bacterial small subunit ribosomal RNA", at positions 347 to 476 of the family's 1533-position model. Lineage: Bacteria; Pseudomonadati; Pseudomonadota; Gammaproteobacteria; Alteromonadales; Pseudoalteromonadaceae. The record is from RNAcentral.
UGCGGGGGGUGUAAUAUUGCACAAUGGGCGCAAGCCUGAUGCAGCCAUGCCCCGUGUGUGAAGAAGGCCUUCGGGUUGUAAAGCACUUUCAGUCAGGAGGAAAGGUUAGUAGUUAAUACCUGCUAGCUGU